This is a long non-coding RNA of Felis catus (domestic cat), 850 nucleotides long. RefSeq lists it as uncharacterized. The record is from RefSeq and is a predicted model, not a curated record. The transcript has 2 exons. NCBI's taxonomy places the organism in Eukaryota, Metazoa, Chordata, Mammalia, Carnivora, Felidae.
ACAGCUAUGCCUAUUUCAAAACCAAAAAUAAAAAGGGGGGGAGGGUCCUCUAAGUGAGGCUCUAUUGCAAGCACAAUGUCCCUGUGACAUGUCGUAUCCCUUUCGUAACACAUUUCUGAAUCGCAGCACAAGACUUUGAGAAAUCAUGACACAUUUCAUAAUGACCCUUUUCCUCUGCUCUCUGGCAAUUUCCUGACCUUCUGACGUGGCAGCAGCCAAAGAUGACUUGUUUGGUUCUAGAAGCAAAGCGUGGCACUCUUCAGGAUCUCCCUAACACGAUAUGCCGAAGAUCAAAUGUUUGCCGGCUUCUGGAAUGACGGGCCGAGAGCACCUUGCCCACACCUUCUCCGGGAAGCACAGCGGUGGAGCAGUUAGGAGAUGAGCUCUGCAAUCUGUACCCACCCAGGUUCAAAUCCCUGUGUGGGCCCCGGGGCUGGCUGCCUCACUUCUGCAAGCCUUGCUUUUGGAAGGACAUUAAUAAGGCCCGUCUCCUGGGUUUCUGGGAGGAUUAUGCAAGAAAAUGGUGGAAGAUGCUCUGUACCUGACUCCUCCUGGGGAGAUCUACAGGGAGAGAAGUCUAUGGAAUCCUGACACGAUCCUUUUAGGGUGUGUCUCCCUCAGUGACCAGUUCCUGGAGAACAAGAGCUGUGUCUCAUCCACGCGCCUCCCGAGCGCAUGGCAUACAGCAGGUGUUCCCUACGUGUGUGCUGAAUUGAACAGGACCCGGGGAGGGAGAAGGCAAGCUGUGUCCUAUGGGUAAGGGUUUAACAUCCUCUAAAUUAUACCCUCUUAAAAACAGAUCUCCAUAUGGACAAUGAACAGAAGGGAAUAAAGUGAAAACACAAAAUUA